AGAAAGGUAAGCUAAAUUUUAAGCUAAUAGGUUCAUACCCUACUUAUAGAGUCAACUCUCCUCUCUA
Molecule: transfer RNA, 67 nt
Filed under: Plautia crossota
Lineage: Eukaryota; Metazoa; Arthropoda; Insecta; Hemiptera; Pentatomidae
Description: tRNA-Met
Source: RNAcentral